RNAcentral lists this ribosomal RNA (120 nucleotides) under Shigella flexneri. RNAcentral's name for it is "partial 16S ribosomal RNA". It matches the Rfam family "Bacterial small subunit ribosomal RNA", at positions 1 to 111 of the family's 1533-position model. RNAcentral also lists the same sequence under 2 other names. The record is from RNAcentral. Lineage: Bacteria; Pseudomonadati; Pseudomonadota; Gammaproteobacteria; Enterobacterales; Enterobacteriaceae.
UUAAAUUGAAGAGUUUGAUCAUGGCUCAGAUUGAACGCUGGCGGCAGGCCUAACACAUGCAAGUCGAACGGUAACAGGAAGCAGCUUGCUGUUUCGCUGACGAGUGGCGGACGGGUGAGU